AAGGUGGGGACUCUAAACAGACUGCCUGUGCAAACAGAGAGGAAGGAGGACGACGUCAAGUCAUCAUGGCCCGCGUCCGGGGCUACACGUGCUACAAUGGAUGGUACAGAGGGCAGCAAGCUGGUAACAGCAAGCAAAUCUCCAAAAGCCAUUCACAGUUCGGAUAGAGGUCUGCAACUCGACCUCUUGAAGUUGGAUUCGCUAGUAAUCGUAUAUCAGCAAUGAUACGGUGAAUACGUUCCGGGCCUUGUACACCGCCCGUCAAGCCAUGGAAGUUGGGGUACCUAAGUAUGUAACCGCAAGGGCGUCCUAGGUAAACCGAUAACUGGGGCUAAGUCGUAACAAGGUAGCCGUACCGGAAGGUGCGGCUGGAAUACCUCCU
This 382-nucleotide ribosomal RNA is filed under the name Pedobacter sp. IW39. RNAcentral's name for it is "bacterial SSU rRNA". It matches the Rfam family "Bacterial small subunit ribosomal RNA", at positions 1128 to 1531 of the family's 1533-position model. The record is from RNAcentral. Lineage: Bacteria; Pseudomonadati; Bacteroidota; Sphingobacteriia; Sphingobacteriales; Sphingobacteriaceae.